This is a long non-coding RNA of Diospyros lotus (date-plum), 1125 nucleotides long. RefSeq lists it as uncharacterized. The record is from RefSeq and is a predicted model, not a curated record. NCBI's taxonomy places the organism in Eukaryota, Viridiplantae, Streptophyta, Magnoliopsida, Ericales, Ebenaceae. The transcript is spliced from 3 exons.
UCAUUUUUUUGUUGUUUUUGUAUUUUGUCCAUUUGUAUAUGAUCAAUGUAAAACAUUUUCUUUCAGGCAUAUAUGCAAAGAUUGUGAAGUGAGAAAUAUGAUGGUGCCAGGAGGGUUUUCGCGCCCCAAAGAAUGGGCAGGUUUUGUCUAGGGGACAAUUGAUGAUCAUUUCCCUUAGUGGACCGUUGACUAUGUGUUGCUCCCAUGUACUAUACGGAAUAAGCACUGGGUCCUUGGGAAAAUCUACUUGAAAGAGAGGAAAGUAGUGAUAUACGACUCUAGGAGAAGGUCAAGGGUCGAAUCCAUCAAGCCAUUAGUGAGCCUCUUACCUAUUCUCAUGAUGCGUAGUCCAUAUUACGAGCAUACUUCGACGCUUUAGCAUCCACACAGAGAAUGGGAGGUGGAGAUUCUUCAUCCGUCGAUGGUGUCUCUGCCUCAACAACCAGAUGGGUACAUUCCAAGAGCAAUAAUGCCAUUAAAGACCUACCAUGUGUCCAAAAGGGCACGAUUCGCAGCAUAACUGUACCAAACCUACCUCAUGCCCCAUGCCGAGGAACGAGCAACCAUAAUUGGCACAUGGCCACUCCAUCGGGAAAGGGAAGUCGAUCUAGUUAGCAUUGAGCAAAUCGGAGUUCACGAAGUGAUAUAAGCUAAGAAGUAGGACAAAUUUUGUGCUAAACCACACAAGAUCUACCCACUAGCGGUGCGCGACUUUAUUGCCAACUCCAACCCCAACAUUGAAGAUGAAGACAAGGAACACGCUUUCCACACCUAUGUUUGGGGAGUAUGGGUACCAUUCAGCCCAGCGGAGAUCCAACAUUUCUUUCAGGUUGAUGCCGGGUCAGACGUGCCUAACAUUGUAGAUUGGAAUGAUGUUGCUCGCUUAUGUUUCAUUGACGAAAUUCCACCACAAUAGCCCUGUAACAACAUGGUGUUGCACAACGAGCUUAACAUUAAGCUCAAGAUCUUUCAUUACAUCAUCGCCUACAAUGUUCCCUCCUGUCACAUGAUGGAAAUCUACCCUCAACGGAUGUAAUUGCUUUAUGCACUCGCGAAGGGCCAUGACUUAAAUUUCGAAGACUAGAUAUUUUGCCAAAUAAUGGCCUUUGCCCUGAGCAGAGGCAA